CGGGGGGAGCAAGCGUUGUUCGGAUUUACUGGGCGUAAAGGGCGCGUAGGCGGCUCUUUAAGUCAGAUGUGAAAACCCAGGGCUUAACUUUGGGAGUGCAUUUGAAACUGAAGAGCUCGAGUGCAGGAGAGGUAAGUGGAAUUCCUAGUGUAGCGGUGAAAUGCGUAGAUAUUAGGAGGAACACCAGUGGCGAAGGCGACUUACUGGACUGUAACUGACGCUGAGGCGCGAAAGCGUGGGGAGCAAACAGGAUUAGAUACCCUGGUAGUCCACGCUGUAAACGAUGGAUACUAGGUGUGGGAGGUAUCGACCCCUUCCGUGCCGCAGUUAACGCAAUAAGUAUCCCGCCUGGGGAGUACGGCCGCAAGGUUG
RNAcentral lists this ribosomal RNA (372 nucleotides) under uncultured organism. RNAcentral describes it as "bacterial SSU rRNA". It matches the Rfam family "Bacterial small subunit ribosomal RNA", at positions 526 to 896 of the family's 1533-position model. The record is from RNAcentral.